RNAcentral lists this ribosomal RNA (239 nucleotides) under uncultured bacterium. Its description in RNAcentral is "partial 16S ribosomal RNA". It matches the Rfam family "Bacterial small subunit ribosomal RNA", at positions 538 to 776 of the family's 1533-position model. The record is from RNAcentral.
GCGUUGCUCGGAAUCACUGGGCGUAAAGCGCACGUAGGCGGAUUGCUAAGUCAGGGGUGAAAGCCUGGUGCUCAACACCAGAAUUGCCUUUAAGACUGCAUCGCUUGAACGUCGGAGAGGUGAGUGGAAUUCCGAGUGUAGAGGUGAAAUUCGUAGAUAUUCGGAAGAACACCAGUGGCGAAGGCGGCUCACUGGACGACUGUUGACGCUGAGGUGCGAAAGCGUGGGGAGCAAACAGG